GGUUAAGCGACUAAGCGUACACGGUGGAUGCCCUGGCAGUCAGAGGCGAUGAAGGACGUGCUAAUCUGCGAUAAGCGUCGGUAAGGUGAUAUGAACCGUUAUAACCGGCGAUUUCCGAAUGGGGAAACCCAGUGUGAUUCGUCACACUAUCAUUAACUGAAUCCAUAGGUUAAUGAGGCGAACCGGGGGAACUGAAACAUCUAAGUACCCCGAGGAAAAGAAAUCAACCGAGAUUCCCCCAGUAGCGGCGAGCGAACGGGGAGCAGCCCAGAGCCUGAAUCAGU
This 284-nucleotide ribosomal RNA is filed under the name Escherichia coli. Its description in RNAcentral is "partial 23S ribosomal RNA". It matches the Rfam family "Bacterial large subunit ribosomal RNA", at positions 1 to 285 of the family's 2925-position model. RNAcentral also lists the same sequence under 3 other names. Lineage: Bacteria; Pseudomonadati; Pseudomonadota; Gammaproteobacteria; Enterobacterales; Enterobacteriaceae. The record is from RNAcentral.